This 497-nucleotide ribosomal RNA is filed under the name uncultured bacterium. RNAcentral's name for it is "partial 16S ribosomal RNA". It matches the Rfam family "Bacterial small subunit ribosomal RNA", at positions 28 to 507 of the family's 1533-position model. The record is from RNAcentral.
GAUGAACGCUGGCGGCGUGCCUAAUACAUGCGAGUCGAGCGAACAGACGAGGAGCUUGCUCCUCUGACGUUAGCGGCGGACGGGUGAGUAACACGUGGAUAACCUACCUAUAAGACUGGGAUCACUUCGGGAAACCGGAGCUAAUACCGGAUAAUAUAUUGAACCGCAUGGUUCAAUAGUGAAAGACGGUUUUGCUGUCACUUAUAGAUGGAUCCGCGCCGCAUUAGCUAGUUGGUAAGGUAACGGCUUACCAAGGCGACGAUGCGUAGCCGACCGGAGAGGGGGAUCGGCCACACUGGAACGGAGACACGGUCCAGACUCCUACGGGAGGCAGCAGUAGGGAAUCUUCCGCAAUGGGCGAAAGCCUGACGGAGCAACGCCGCGUGAGUGAUGAAGGUCUUCGGAUCGGAAAACUCUGUUAUUAGGGAAGAACAAAUGUGUAAGUAACUAUGCACGUCUUGACGGUACCUAAUCAGAAAGCCACGGCUAACUACGUG